AUGGUUAUAUGCUUGAAUAAUCAGUUUCUGAGAGCUAAUUUUAUUGUUUCUCAACUAAAAUUUAGAGAGCAGCAGUUGAAGAAAGAUUAUUUUAUUGUUAAAUCUAUUGUAGAGAAGAGUGGCUUCGGUUUUCAUCCUGUUACAAAAAUGCCAACAACCAUGGUUUGCAUGCAAUUUAUUGAAAAAUGGGAUGAAUUGAGCAAAGAACAACAGAAGUGGAGAUACAAAGCUUUCCCUUACUAUGAUGAUUUGCAUGCAAUUUAUUGA
This 267-nucleotide ribosomal RNA is filed under the name Triticum aestivum (bread wheat). RNAcentral's name for it is "partial small subunit ribosomal RNA". Lineage: Eukaryota; Viridiplantae; Streptophyta; Magnoliopsida; Poales; Poaceae. The record is from RNAcentral.